Molecule: unclassified non-coding RNA, 325 nt
Filed under: uncultured fungus
Lineage: Eukaryota; Fungi
Description: partial contains small subunit ribosomal RNA, internal transcribed spacer 1, and 5.8S ribosomal RNA
Rfam family: Eukaryotic small subunit ribosomal RNA (bases 1-73)
Source: RNAcentral
GCAAACUUGGUCAUUUAGAGGAAGUAAAAGUCGUAACAAGGUCUCCGUUGGUGAACCAGCGGAGGGAUCAUUACCGAGUUUACAACUCCCAAACCCAAUGUGAACGUUACCAAACUGUUGCCUCGGCGGGAUCUCUGCCCCGGGUGCGUCGCAGCCCCGGACCAAGGCGCCCGCCGGAGGACCAACCAAAAACUCUUUUUGUAUACCCCCUCGCGGGUUUUUAUAUAUCUGAGCCUUUCUCGGCGCCCCUUCGUGGGCGUUUCGAAAAUGAAUCAAAACUUUCAACAACGGAUCUCUUGGUUCUGGCAUCGAUGAAGAACGCAGC